AAUUUUAUAGUUAAAUUAUAUAAUAUUAGAAUGCAAUUCUAAAGGUAUAAAUUUUUAUUUAUUAAAAUUU
This 70-nucleotide transfer RNA is filed under the name Empria plana. RNAcentral's name for it is "tRNA-Cys". Lineage: Eukaryota; Metazoa; Arthropoda; Insecta; Hymenoptera; Tenthredinidae. The record is from RNAcentral.